UUAAGCAUAUCAAUAAGCGGAGGAAAAGAAACCAACAGGGAUUGCCCCAGUAACGGCGAGUGAAGCGGCAAGAGCUCAAAUUUGAAAGCUGGCCCCCUCGGGGUCCGCAUUGUAAUUUGCAGAGGAUGCUUCGGGAGUGGCCCCCAUCUAAGUGCUCUGGAACGGGCCGUCAUAGAGGGUGAGAAUCCCGUAUGGGAUGGGGUGUCCGCGACCAUGUGAAGCUCCUUCAACGAGUCGAGUUGUUUGGGAAUGCAGCUCUAAAUGGGUGGUAAAUUUCAUCUAAAGCUAAAUAUUGGCCGGAGACCGAUAGCGCACAAGUAGAGUGAUCGAAAGAUGAAAAGCACUUUGAAAAGAGAGUUAAAAAGCACGUGAAAUUGUUGAAAGGGAAGCGCUUGCGACCAGACUCGCCUGCGGGGUUCAGCCGGCAUUCGUACCGGUGUACUUCCCCGUGGGCGGGCCAGCGUCGGUUUGGGCGGCCGGUCAAAGGCCCUCGGAAUGUAACGCCUCUCGGGGCGUCUUAUAGCCGAGGGUGCCAUGCGGCCAGCCCGGACCGAGGAACGCGCUUCGGCUCGGACGCUGGCAUAAUGGUCGUAAGCGACCCGUCUUGAAACACGGACCAAGGAGUCUAACAUCUACGCGAGUGUUCGGGUGUCAAACCCGUGCGCGCAGUGAAAGCGAACGGAGGUGGGAACCCCUCGGGGUGCACCAUCGACCGAUCCUGAUGUCUUCGGAUGGAUUUGAGUAAGAGCGUAGCUGUUGGGACCCGAAAGAUGGUGAACUAUGCCUGAAUAGGGCGAAGCCAGAGGAAACUCUGGUGGAGGCUCGCAGCGGUUCUGACGUGCAAAUCGAUCGUCAAAUUUGGGUAUAGGGGCGAAAGACUAAUCGAACCAUCUAGUAGCUGGUUCCUGCCGAA
RNAcentral lists this ribosomal RNA (913 nucleotides) under Penicillium restrictum. Its description in RNAcentral is "LSU rRNA". It matches the Rfam family "Eukaryotic large subunit ribosomal RNA", at positions 34 to 965 of the family's 3401-position model. Lineage: Eukaryota; Fungi; Ascomycota; Eurotiomycetes; Eurotiales; Aspergillaceae. The record is from RNAcentral.